AUACGGAGGAUCCGAGCGUUAUCCGGAUUUAUUGGGUUUAAAGGGUGCGCAGGCGGGAGAUUAAGUCGGCGGCGAAAUUUUGCAGCUCAACUGUGAAAGUGCCUUUGGAAAUGGUUUCCUUGAGUGGAGAUGAAGUAGGCGGAACUUGUGGUGUAGCGGUGAAAUGCAUAGAUAUCACGAGGAACUCCGAUUGCGCAGGCAGCUUACUAAACUACUACUGACGCUCAGGCACGAAGGCGUGGGGAUCAAACAGGAUUAGAUACCCUGGUAGUCCACGCAGUAAACGAUGAUUACUAGCUGUUUGCGAUACAAUGUAAGCGGCUGAGCGAAAGCGUUAAGUAAUCCACCUGGGGAGUACGUUCGCAAGAAUGAAACUCAAAGGAAUUGACGGGG
RNAcentral lists this ribosomal RNA (393 nucleotides) under uncultured bacterium. Its description in RNAcentral is "partial 16S ribosomal RNA". It matches the Rfam family "Bacterial small subunit ribosomal RNA", at positions 523 to 918 of the family's 1533-position model. The record is from RNAcentral.